Molecule: unclassified non-coding RNA, 219 nt
Filed under: Hevea brasiliensis (rubber tree)
Lineage: Eukaryota; Viridiplantae; Streptophyta; Magnoliopsida; Malpighiales; Euphorbiaceae
Source: RNAcentral
AUGACAAUGACCGUUUCACAAUGGAUUUUAUAGCCUGCCCUACAUCACAUUAUUAUAUUUUUCGUUACCAACUUAUUUCAUUGCUCACUCAAUUUAUUAUCUUUGUUUUAGUUAGUAACUUCAAGCAUUAUUAUCUGUGAAAAAAAUUCAUAUGCUGGCUUCAUUUUUUUUUAAAUCUUUUUAUACUUUAGUAUUUUCUACAAUUGUUGUUAAUUCUUG